UACGUAGGGUGCAAGCGUUAAUCGGAAUUACUGGGCGUAAAGCGUGCGCAGGCGGUUAUGUAAGACAGGUGUGAAAUCCCCGGGCUUAACCUGGGAACUGCAUUUGUGACUGCAUAGCUAGAGUACGGUAGAGGGGGAUGGAAUUCCGCGUGUAGCAGUGAAAUGCGUAGAUAUCUGGAGGAAUACCGGUGGCGAAGGCGGCAUCCUAGACCGGCAUUGACGCUGAGGAGCGAAAGCCAGGGGAGCAAACGGG
This 253-nucleotide ribosomal RNA is filed under the name uncultured bacterium. RNAcentral's name for it is "partial 16S ribosomal RNA". It matches the Rfam family "Bacterial small subunit ribosomal RNA", at positions 524 to 776 of the family's 1533-position model. The record is from RNAcentral.